GAUUCCAUGGUAUAAUAGUUAGCACUCGGGACUUUGAAUCCAGUGAUCUGAGUUCAAAUCUUGAUGGAACCU
This is a non-coding RNA of Danio rerio (zebrafish), 72 nucleotides long. The record is from Rfam. Lineage: Eukaryota; Metazoa; Chordata; Actinopteri; Cypriniformes; Danionidae.